GGGCCGGUAGCUCAGUGGGAGAGCGCUGCGUUCGCAUCGCAGAAGUCGGGGGUUCAAAUCCCCCUCGGUCCA
Molecule: transfer RNA, 72 nt
Filed under: Chloroflexota bacterium
Lineage: Bacteria; Bacillati; Chloroflexota
Description: tRNA-Ala
Rfam family: tRNA
About the family: Transfer RNA (tRNA) molecules are approximately 80 nucleotides in length. Their secondary structure includes four short double-helical elements and three loops (D, anti-codon, and T loops).
Source: RNAcentral